AUGGAGGGCCAGGGCGAAGACACGGCCACGUUGGUGCAGCCUGUGGUCCACAUCGCCGGCAAGAAGAACCACCACAAGGUCGGGGUCAUGGUGGUGCAUCCUGUGGUCUUCAUCGUCUACCACUCCGCCGUCUUCGGCAACCCCCACCACUUCUGCGUCCACAUGUCCUUCAAGGGCCGCACCGUCCUGUUCGACUGCGGCAUCCACACGGCCUACUCCGGCAUGGCGGCGCUGCCCUACUUCGACGAGAUCGACCCCUCCGCCAUCGACGUCCUCCUCGUCACCCACUUCCACUUGGACCACGCCGCCUCGCUGCCCUACUUCCUCGAGAAGACGACGUUCAAGGGCCGCGUGUUCAUGACCCACGCCACCAAGGCCAUCUACAGGCUGCUGCUCUCGGAUUACGUCAAGGUCAGCAAGGUGUCGAUAGAGGACAUGCUGUUUGACGAGCAGGACAUCAUCCGUUCCAUGGACAAGAUCGAGGUCAUAGACUUCCACCAGACACUUGAAGUUAAUGGCAUACGCUUCUGGUGCUAUACUACUGGCCAUGUACUUGGUGCUGCCAUGUUCAUGGUGGAUAUUGCCGGUGUUCGCAUUCUUUACACCGGUGACUACUCCCGUGAAGAAGACCGGCACCUGAAAGCUGCUGAGAUCCCCCAGUUCUCCCCUGAUAUUUGCAUUAUUGAGUCAACUUAUGGCGUGCAGCAACACCAACCCCGCCAUGUCAGAGAAAAGCGCUUCACUGAUGCCAUCCACAACACUGUUUCUCAAGGGGGGCGUGUUCUUAUCCCGGCAUAUGCUCUUGGUAGAGCACAGGAACUGUUGCUUAUCCUGGAUGAGUAUUGGUCUAACUACCCAGAGCUCCAUAAGAUUCCAUAUUAG
Molecule: ribosomal RNA, 882 nt
Filed under: Triticum aestivum (bread wheat)
Lineage: Eukaryota; Viridiplantae; Streptophyta; Magnoliopsida; Poales; Poaceae
Description: partial small subunit ribosomal RNA
Source: RNAcentral